RNAcentral lists this ribosomal RNA (312 nucleotides) under Triticum aestivum (bread wheat). RNAcentral's name for it is "partial small subunit ribosomal RNA". The record is from RNAcentral. Lineage: Eukaryota; Viridiplantae; Streptophyta; Magnoliopsida; Poales; Poaceae.
CCAUCUCCGUGCGCAGCCAUGUCUUCCUCCACCUCCUUCCAGCCAACACUUAGCGGUGGAGUCCUGGAGAAACUCUCCCGCACCAACUACAUCCUGUGGCGGACACAGAUCACGCCGCAGCUGCGGGGCGCCAGUGUUUUCCACUACGCCGACGACACGGCCACCGCACCGGCCAAAACCCUCGUCACCAAGGAUGUUGCCGGGAAGGAACCCGAGGGGCCGAAUCCUCUCCAUCCGCUUUGGGUGAAGGAGGAUCAACAGGUCCUUGGAUACCUGCUCCAAAACCUUGAUACGAGGUGCUCAUCACGGUGA